GAUGAACGCUAGCGGCAGGCCUAAUACAUGCAAGUCGAACGGGAUUGGGGAGCUUGCUCCCCAUGAGAGUGGCGCACGGGUGCGUAACGCGUGCGCAACCUGCCCGUCCCAGGGGGAUAGCCCGUUGAAAGACGGAUUAACACCGCAUGACGUAGUUAACUGGCAUCAGUAUCCUACCAAGUAUUUAUAGGGGACGGAUGGGCUCGCGUGACAUUAGAUGGUUGGAGAGGUAUCGGCUCACCAAGGCGGCGAUGUCUAGGGGCUCUGAGAGGAGAAUCCCCCACACUGGUACUGAGACACGGACCAGACUCCUACGGGAGGCAGCAGUAAGGAAUAUUGGUCAAUGGGCGGAAGCCUGAACCAGCCAUGCCGCGUGCAGGAAGACGGCCCUACGGGUUGUAAACUGCUUUUGUAAGGGAAUAAUUCCUAUUAUGUAUAAUAGGUUGAAUGUACCGUAAGAAUAAGGAUCGGCUAACUCCGUGCCAGCCGCCGCCGUAA
This 498-nucleotide ribosomal RNA is filed under the name uncultured bacterium. RNAcentral describes it as "partial 16S ribosomal RNA". It matches the Rfam family "Bacterial small subunit ribosomal RNA", at positions 28 to 523 of the family's 1533-position model. The record is from RNAcentral.